Long non-coding RNA from Mugil cephalus (flathead mullet), 2869 nucleotides. RefSeq lists it as uncharacterized. The record is from RefSeq and is a predicted model, not a curated record. The transcript is spliced from 2 exons. NCBI's taxonomy places the organism in Eukaryota, Metazoa, Chordata, Actinopteri, Mugiliformes, Mugilidae.
AUGGAACGGACCCCUGAAACGAGGGCUAAGACACCCAAAGCAGCCAAGCAGUCAAAAAAAGACUCUAACAAUGAGUGGAAAACUACAUUCUCGUCAAGCAAGACCUCCUUUACCAGAGGCAGUGUUUCUAUCCUGAGGACUAAGUACGCCAUCUCCUGGGGUAAAUCCUCAAUCUCCUGGAGCAGAAACACCGUAACUUUGGGCAACACCAGUAUAGCAGUGGGCAAAACCUCUGUUACACGCGGGGAGACUACCAGCUCUCUCACCACUCUGACCUUCACUCAUGGGACCAAGUCUGUGUCUGUGGUCAAAACCACCCUCGUCAGGGGCAAAGAAACGCAUAGCAACGUCUACUGGGAUUUUCACACUUGAAUCCUGCACAUACUUAAAAACCUACGGAUAUGUCAAUAUGGUCAGUUUUAGAAGUCUUGGCCUAACCAGCAGGAUCAGAUGACACAGGCCAACUCCUCACUGGCGGCAGCAUUGUGCAACACCAGCCAGUGCUGUGUUUAUCAUCCUGGACUGUCGGGGGAGGCGUCCCAUCCUGCACUGGAUUGGCACAAACAGUCAAGAGAAAACAAAAUGCCUCGUGCUAUGACAAAUAAAGUUUCACAAUUUGGGUCAAACCCACGUUGAGUGAAAGGUGUAAAAAUGCAACUACAGCAGGGUGUGUCUCUCUCUCACCCGUCCCCUCUGGGAGCAAGCGUACAGGCAAAGUGUUUUAUGGUCAGAGGAGGUGCAGAGGGAUCAGGGCGAAAGAUGGAGUAUUGGACUGAGUAGCACAGAGAGGGUAAAUCAAGCGUCUGAGCGUGACAGGGGGAUAAUAGGAGGAAUAACAGGGUGUCACACUGAAAUUGAUGGUGAGAGAGCAGGCCGAUCAGCUGAUGACUGGUGUCCAAAUGUUCAGCCAAACGUGCUCUGCUGUAACUUCAUGCACUUGAUGGUAAAAAAAAAUAAAAAUGAAAUAAAGGGAGGUUGAGAAAUAAAGAAAAAAUGCAAAAGAAUGAUGCACAAAAACCGAAAUUACCAUGAUGCAACUGUCACACUACUGCUCAGAAUACAAAACACUAAGUGUCCAAGAAACGUGAAUAUGAAUUAUGGAAUAUUUUAUUUUCUCCUCUUGAGCCACGCCCUGGAAGAGCUCAGACGUCAGCCAACAGGCAGCACAUCGCCCUCGCUCCUCUCCCCCCCUCCCUCCGUUCCUUUUUGUUUACAGGAAGCAGCUGAAGGGAUAACACUUGUCAAGUCUCACUCAUCUUAUCUAUUUUUUCUCAGGUUCACCGUGUCCGCAGCAACAUUGUUCCUCCAGUCAUGGACAACAACAACCAUUAGCCAGGCCGAAGCAACAUAGCAGUCAGUUUUAAGCACUACAGAACAGAAUGUGGCUUGAAUACAAAUACGAUCGUUUGAGAUACAUUUAGUCAAAUCACAAAAAAACAGGAAAAGAAAAAGAAAAAAGAAAAUCUGGGGUGACAUGAAAAUUUACACUCACUCCGUAAAACCUCAGCCCUUAAGCUAUACCCUGUUGCUAGUGGCAACAGUGCAGAGAUGCAGUGGAUCACAAUGACACUGCUGUCACUGUGGACAUUAUAAAUACCACCAUGUCUCUUCAUAGCCAUCAAAACUAAAUUCCUUUAGGUUUUAAAUGCUGUCUGUCAAGAAAACAAAAACAGUGCAAAAUCGAAAAUCCUCAAAAAGCUAAAUGGUUGACAUUUGUUUUAGUUGGAAGGUUUUUCCAAGGACGAUUCUCAUCAACUCUUACUUUAUCAUGAGAUUCGGCUUUCCUUAACACAAAUGUUCUUUUGCUGUUCAUGCAGUAUGUGUCUUUAAUUCAAACGGAUUCAUCUUGUUACGUACGUCACUGUGAACAAGGCACUCGGCAGAGAUUAGUCCUGUUCCUGUGCCUGGUACUGGUGACCCACAUCGUGCCAGAUCAAGUUUAUUGUAAACACCUUUAAACAGCUCUGUGAUGCCUGCUAUUCUUGGUUGCGACCACAAGUGACAAACAGAACUGAGGAACCUCACACAUCAACAUGUGAACUCCCCGACCCCGUAACUGAACAGAAACACUUCUCUGAAGUCAUCAAACGAAUUGUCAGGAAUUUGAAACUUUAAUCUGUGUGUGUGUUGAUUGUAAGUUAAACAUGUAUGAUGUUACAGUGAGAGAAAAGUGGUUAGAUUUUAUAUAUAUACACACACACACACGCGUAUUAGGGUAAAUAAAAGCUUGGCCUGGUAUACUAAUCGAGCACUAACGUCACUUAGCUACUGUAGCCAGGCAGCGAUUCAGCUAUGGAAGUAACUGUGUCUCAGUCAGCACGACUGAGAGCCUAGAUCCUGCACCAACGUGACGCCCAGCCUGCUUUAAUGUACACCCAGAGGGCCACUGCUGAUUCAGGACCUCUCCCCGCUAAGACUCUACGACCACACUGCAGCCUACUUGAAUCAGCUCUGACCAGAUCCAGAAGAACAUAAAAGGCUCAGAAACACCAUGAAUGAGAUCAGGCAGCGACACAGACUCGCAUAGAGGAAUUUGCCCUUGAAGUGAACCUAAUCAAUUCAUGUUGUUCUUUAGAAAAUGGAACACAAACGUGUAGUAAGCAUUACUGAUGGAGAGCUGUUUGAGGUUUAUUUCCGUCCCGUCCGGUUUGUUUGUCAUUAAAAUGCCUAAAUGAUUAAAUCUGUCUUUGCACAGUCAGCACAAGCUGAAAACAACAGUGUUUCUGUGUCCACGUUAAUCCUCUUCUGUGUUUGAAGUCUGUUGUGAGAAGUUUUCUUUCUUUGCAGGCGUGCUCUGUGCAAAAUUGUGUGUUUUGCAACUCUCUAUGUGUCACUAAAAUGCAAUGGAAUAAAAGUGAAUAAAAAGACA